CCCUUAGAUGUACUGGGCUGCACGCGCGCUACACUGAUGCACUCAACGAGUUUACGACCUUGCCCGAUAGGGUUGGGUAAUCUUUUUAAAAUGCAUCGUGAUGGGGAUAGAUUAUUGCAAUUAUUAAUCUUCAACGAGGAAUUCCUAGUAAGCGCGAGUCAUCAGCUCGUGCUGAUUACGUCCCUGCCCUUUGUACACACCGCCCGUCGCUCCUACCGAUUGAGUGCUCAGGUGAAUAAUUCGGACUGCAGCAAUGUUUGGAUCCCGAACGUUGCAGCGGAAAGUUUAGUGAACCUUAUCACUUAGAGGAAGGAGAAGUCGUAACA
This 326-nucleotide ribosomal RNA is filed under the name uncultured eukaryote. Its description in RNAcentral is "partial 18S ribosomal RNA". It matches the Rfam family "Eukaryotic small subunit ribosomal RNA", at positions 1470 to 1796 of the family's 1831-position model. The record is from RNAcentral.